GUACGGAUAUGUAUAUGUUGGAUCUAAUAGGAAAGACGGGCACACAAUCAAAGAGCCCGACAAGGUAGCAGCGGAAAAUACCAAGACUAAACUUUUCCUUUCAACUUGAACCAAGAGGAGAAAAAUAAACCCAAGAAAAAUAGAGUAAUAUACAGCAAACAACUCAACCAAAUGAAACAAGACAAGAAUAAAGGCAAUCAUACGAGACACAAGAUUUAUGUGGAAAACCCAUCAGUGUG
RNAcentral lists this long non-coding RNA (239 nucleotides) under Capsicum annuum. Its description in RNAcentral is "long non-coding RNA (CANN_LNC013522)". The record is from RNAcentral. Lineage: Eukaryota; Viridiplantae; Streptophyta; Magnoliopsida; Solanales; Solanaceae.